Molecule: long non-coding RNA, 474 nt
Organism: Lynx canadensis (Canada lynx)
Lineage: Eukaryota; Metazoa; Chordata; Mammalia; Carnivora; Felidae
Exons: 2
Source: RefSeq, a predicted model, not a curated record
CUCUCUGUCUGUCUCUCAAAAAUAAAUAAAUAAACUUAAAAAAAAAUGUAAAAAGAAGAAGACAUCCAUAUGCAUUGCCUUCCCCUGCAAUGCCCAGGUACAGUGAGCAAUGAAGAAGACAUUGUUUACAUUAAUGAUUCAGUUACAUUUUGAAAAAAAUGAAACAUUUUUGGCACUGUUACUGUAUACAUCAGGCCUUCCCUAUAGUAUUCUGUAGGCUAGUUAUUUUGCCCAUUUAAAGAUGAGGUUCCUGGAAUCAAAGAUGAAAACUUGUCCUUGGCAAAGGGCUAAUGUGGGGGGGGGACAGGGCCUUUGACCCCCAGUCUUUGGAUCCCAAGUACCCUGCUGGCUUCACCACCUCCUGUUACCCUCCUCCUCAUACAUUUUAUUCCCUGUCUAGUAGUGAAGGCAUUCCUAACCAGAAAUAAGUUGUUCUGUAUCUAGUUUUAGACGAAUGUUUUGGAAUUGUAAAAA